Molecule: long non-coding RNA, 251 nt
Filed under: Brassica napus (rape)
Lineage: Eukaryota; Viridiplantae; Streptophyta; Magnoliopsida; Brassicales; Brassicaceae
Description: long non-coding RNA (BNAP_LNC018223)
Source: RNAcentral
AGUAUUCUCCAUUACUAUUUUUCAACCACACCAAAUCAUCUGGGAUUCUCCUCGUGCUAGGUUUUAACUUCAGGAUUUGUUCUCUGUGUGCAGGGAGGAUGGAAUCAAUUUUUGGGAUAUCCCACUCCGUUGUUCCUGGAAUUAGCAAGUCAGCCACCUUCACAGAGAGAAGAGCUUCUGGUGCUGGGCCGUACGGUCUGAGUUGCUCAGAGUGAGAUAACCAAGGAUCGUUCCAGAUGUUGAUUUCUUCC